AACGAACGCUGGCGGCAGGCCUAACACAUGCAAGUCGAGCGGACCCUUCGGGGUUAGCGGCGGACGGGUGAGUAACGCGUGGGAAUAUGCCCUUCUCUACGGAAUAGUCCUGGGAAACUGGGGGUAAUACCGUAUACGCCCUUUGGGGGAAAGAUUUAUCGGAGCAGGAUUAGCCCGCGUUGGAUUCGGUAGUUGGUGGGGUAAUGGCCUACCACGCCGACGAUCCAUAGCUGGUUUGAGAGGAUGAUCAGCCACACUGGGACUGAGACACGGCCCGGACGCCUACGGGAGGCAGCAGUAGGGAAUCUUCCGCGAUGGGCGCAAGCCGGACGGAGCAACGCGGCGUGAGUGAUGAAGGUCUUGGGAGCGUAAAAAUCUGUUAUUAGGGAAGAACAUAUGUGUAAGUAACUGUGCACAUCCUGACGGUACCUAAUCAGAAAGCCACGGCUAACUACGUG
RNAcentral lists this ribosomal RNA (458 nucleotides) under uncultured bacterium. RNAcentral describes it as "partial 16S ribosomal RNA". It matches the Rfam family "Bacterial small subunit ribosomal RNA", at positions 29 to 507 of the family's 1533-position model. The record is from RNAcentral.